RNAcentral lists this ribosomal RNA (497 nucleotides) under uncultured bacterium. RNAcentral's name for it is "partial 16S ribosomal RNA". It matches the Rfam family "Bacterial small subunit ribosomal RNA", at positions 28 to 523 of the family's 1533-position model. The record is from RNAcentral.
GAUGAACGCUGGCGGCGUGCUUAACACAUGCAAGUCGAACGAAGCAUUUAGAACGGAUUACUUCGGUUUGACGUUCUUUAUGACUGAGUGGCGGACGGGUGAGUAACGCGUGGGUAACCUGCCUUGUACUGGGGGCUAGCAGCUGGAAACGGCUGGUAAUACCGCAUAAGCGCACAAUGUUGCAUGACAUGCUGUGAAAAACUCCGGUGGUAUAAGAUGGACCUGCGUCUGAUUAGCUAGUUGGUGAGAUAACAGCCCACCAAGGCGACGAUCAGUAGCCGACCUGAGAGGGUGACCGGCCACAUUGGGACUGAGACACGGCCCAGACUCCUACGGGAGGCAGCAGUGGGGAAUAUUGCACAAUGGAGGAAACUCUGAUGCAGCGACGCCGCGUGAGUGAAGAAGUAAUUCGUUAUGUAAAGCUCUAUCAGCAGGGAAGAUAGUGACGGUACCUGACUAAGAAGCUCCGGCUAAAUACGUGCCAGCCGCCGCGGUAA